UCAAGCUAAAAAGGGCGCAAGGUGAAUGCCUUGGCACUGGGAGCCGAUGAAAGACGUGGUAAGCUGCGAAAAGCUUCGGGGAGGAGCAAACAUCCAUUGAUCCGGAGAUAUCUGAAUGGGGCAACCCAAUGGAGUUCAUACUCCAUUAUCCAAUACUGAAUCCAUAGGUAUUGGAAGGGAACCGCCUGAACUGAAACAUCUAAGUAGGGCGAGGAAGAGACAUCAAACGAGAUUCCGUAAGUAGUGGCGAGCGAACGCGGAAGAGGGCAAACCGAGAGGAGAAAUCCUUUCGGGGUACGGACUGCUUUUAGGACUGAAAGAGUUAACAGAAUGGCAUGGGAAGGCCAACCAAAGAGUGUGAGAGUCACGUAAGUAAAAAUUCUGACAGCUGCGCAGGAUCCAGAGUACGGCCAGACACGUGAAACCUGGUCGGAACAUGGGGGGACCACCCUCCAACCCUAAAUACUACCCAGUGACCGAUAGCGUAUAGUACUGUGAAGGAAAGGUGAAAAGGACCCCGGGAGGGGAGUGAAAGAGAACCUGAAACCUUGUGCCUACAAGCACAUAGAGCCCGUCAAAGGGUGAUAUGGUACUUUUUGUAGAACGGUCCGGCGAGCGAUUGUACGUUGCGAGCUUAAGGUCUUAAGGACUGGAGGCGUAGCGAGAGCGAGUCUAAACAGGGCGUUUAGUAGCGUGCAAUGGGCCCGAAACCGGGUGACCUACCCAUGAUCAGGCUGAAGUGAAAGUAAAAUUUCAUGGAGGGCCGAACCGACCUCCGUUGAAAAGGCGGCGGAUGAAUUGUGGGUAGCGGAGAAAUUCCAAUCGAACUCGGAGAUAGCUGGUUCUCCCCGAAAUAGCUUUAGGGCUAGCCUCAUGUUAGAUAUCCGGAGGUAAAGCACUGAAUGGCCUAGCGUCCGAGAGGAUAGCGAAGCCUAUCAAACUAAGAAUGCCGGAAUAUUGAUGCAUGGGAGUCAGACAGUGUGAGAUAAAUCUCAUUGUCAAAAGGGAAACAGCCCAGAUCUACAGCUAAGGUCCCAAAUUGUAUCUAAGUGGAAAACGAUGUGGAAAUACGCAGACAACCAGGAUGUUGGCUCAGAAGCAGCCACUCAUUUAAAGAGUGCGUAAUAGCUCACUGGUCGAGCGUCUCUGCGCGGAAAAUUUAACGGGGCUAAGAUACAAACCGAAGCUUAGGCUGCAUACGGAAGUAUGCGGGGUAGGGGAGCGUUGUGUAAGCGGAGAAACAGUAGCGGAAGCGGCUGUGGAGUUUACAGAAGUGAGAAUGCCGGAAUGAGUAGCGCGAAUGAUGUGAGAAUCAUCAUGGCCGGAAACCUCAGGUUUUUGGAGGAAGGUUCGUCCGCUCCAAGUUAGGCGGGAGCUAAGGUGAGGCCGAAAGGCGUAGCCGAUGCACAGACGGUAGAGAUUCCGUCCCCACCGAAAGAUUUAAGCGCAGGGACACUUUUAGAAGGUCGGAGCCAGGUGUUGGUUCUGGUAGAGAUCGAGGGAAGAUUAGUACCGAAGUCCGGCUGGAUAAGAGGCGAGAAAAGCUGCGUGUAUAUCUAAGGUGCCCGUACCGCAAACCGACACAGGUAGGUAGGAAGAAGAUUCUAAGGCCAACGGGAGAAGGGUUGUUAAGGAACUCGGCAAGUUGACCCCGUAACUUCGGAAUAAGGGGUGCUCAUGAAAGUGAGCCGCAGAGAAUAGGCCCAGGCAACUGUUUACCAAAAACACAGGUUUGUGCUAAAUCGAAAGAUGACGUAUACGAGCUGACGCCUGCCCGGUGCUGGAAGGUUAAGAGGAGAUGUGCAAGCAUUGAAUCGAAGCCCCAGUGAACGGCGGCCGUAACUAUAACGGUCCUAAGGUAGCGAAAUUCCUUGUCAGGUA
This 1881-nucleotide ribosomal RNA is filed under the name human gut metagenome. RNAcentral describes it as "bacterial LSU rRNA". It matches the Rfam family "Bacterial large subunit ribosomal RNA", at positions 3 to 1978 of the family's 2925-position model. The record is from RNAcentral.